RNAcentral lists this ribosomal RNA (329 nucleotides) under uncultured eukaryote. RNAcentral describes it as "partial 18S ribosomal RNA". It matches the Rfam family "Eukaryotic small subunit ribosomal RNA", at positions 1470 to 1796 of the family's 1831-position model. The record is from RNAcentral.
CCCUUAGAUGUUUUGGGCCGCACGCGCGCUACACUGAUGCAUUCAACGAGUCUAAAACCUGCUCUGAUAGGGGUGGGUAAUCUUUUGAAUGUGCAUCGUGAUUGGGAUAGAUGAUUGCAAUUUUUCAUCUUCAACGAGGAAUGCCUAGUAAACGCAAGUCAUCAGCUUGCAUUGAUUACGUCCCUGCCCUUUGUACACACCGCCCGUCGCUCCUACCGAUUGAAUGAUCCGAUGAAUAUCAUGGAUUGAGGAUGCAAGUAGGUUCGCCUAUCUUCAUCUUCGAGAAGUGAAGUAAAUCUUAUCAUUUAGAGGAAGGAGAAGUCGUAACA